This 253-nucleotide ribosomal RNA is filed under the name uncultured bacterium. RNAcentral's name for it is "partial 16S ribosomal RNA". It matches the Rfam family "Bacterial small subunit ribosomal RNA", at positions 524 to 776 of the family's 1533-position model. The record is from RNAcentral.
UACAGAGGGUGCGAGCGUUGUUCGGAAUUAUUGGGCGUAAAGGGCGCGUAGGCGGUGCGGCAAGUCACCUGUGAAACCUCUGGGCUUAACCCAGAGCCUGCAGGCGAAACUGCCGUGCUGGAGUGUGGGAGAGGUGCGUGGAAUUCCCGGUGUAGCGGUGAAAUGCGUAGAUAUCAGGAGGAAUACCGAUGGCGAAGGCAGGUCUCUGGGCUGACACUGACGCUCAUGCACGAAAGCGUGGGGAGCAAACAGG